This 445-nucleotide ribosomal RNA is filed under the name uncultured bacterium. Its description in RNAcentral is "partial 16S ribosomal RNA". It matches the Rfam family "Bacterial small subunit ribosomal RNA", at positions 354 to 796 of the family's 1533-position model. The record is from RNAcentral.
GUGAGGAAUAUUGGUCAAUGGGCGAGAGCCUGAACCAGCCAAGUCGCGUGAAGGAAGAAGGAUCUAUGGUUCGUAAACUUCUUUUGCAGGGGAAUAAAGUGCAGGACGUGUACUGUUUUGUAUGUACCCUGAGAAUAAGGAUCGGCUAACUCCGUGCCAGCAGCCGCGGUAAUACGGAGGAUCCGAGCGUUAUCCGGAUUUAUUGGGUUUAAAGGGUGCGUAGGUGGUUUGAUAAGUCAGCGGUGAAAGUUUGCAGCUUAACUGUAAAAAUGCCGUUGAAACUGUCGGACUUGAGUGUAAAUGAGGUAGGCGGAAUGCGUGGUGUAGCGGUGAAAUGCAUAGAUAUCACGCAGAACUCCGAUUGCGAAGGCAGCUUACUAAGCUACAACUGACACUGAAGCACGAAAGCGUGGGGAUCAAACAGGAUUAGAUACCCGUGUAGUCC